This 896-nucleotide ribosomal RNA is filed under the name uncultured bacterium. Its description in RNAcentral is "bacterial SSU rRNA". It matches the Rfam family "Bacterial small subunit ribosomal RNA", at positions 33 to 927 of the family's 1533-position model. The record is from RNAcentral.
AGGCCUAGCGGCAGGCUUAUACAUGCAAGUCGAACGGCAGCACGUGUAGCAAUACAUGGUGGCGAGUGGCGCACGGGUGCGUAACACGUAUGUAACCUACCUCUAACAGUGGCAUAACAAUGAGAAAUUAUUGCUAAUUCCGCAUGUGGUUAAUUUGAGGCAUCUUAGAUUAACUAAAGAUUUAUCGGUUAGAGCUGGGCAUGCGUCCCAUUAGCUAGUUGGUGAGGUAACGGCUCACCAAGGCAUCGAUGGGUAGGGGCUCUGAGAGGAUUGUCCCCCACACUGGUACUGAGACACGGACCGGACUCCUACGGGAGGCAGCAGUAAGGAAUAUUGGGCAAUGGACGUAAGUCUGACCCAGCCAUGCCGCGUGAAGGAAGACGGCCCUAUGGGUUGUAAACUUCUUUUCUCAGGGGGUAAACUCCGGAACGUGUUCCGGACUGAAAGUACCUGAGGAAUAAGCAUCGGCUAACUCCGUGCCAGCAGCCGCGGUAAUACGGAGGAUGCGAGCGUUAUCCGGAUUCAUUGGGUUUAAAGGGUGCGCAGGCGGAUAUAUAAGUCGGAGGUGAAAUUCUGAUGCUCAACAUCAGCCGUGCCUUCGAUACUGUAUAUCUAGAGUCAAGUUGGAGUAGGCGGAAUGUGUUGUGUAGCGGUGAAAUGCUUAGAUAUAACACAGAACACCGAUCGCGAAGGCAGCUUACUAAACUUUGACUGACGCUCAUGCACGAAAGCGUGGGGAUCAAACAGGAUUAGAUACCCUGGUAGUCCACGCUGUAAACGAUGAUUACUCGCUGUUGGCGAUACACAGUCAGUGGCUAAGCGAAAGUGAUAAGUAAUCCACCUGGGGAGUACGACGGCAACGUUGAAACUCAAAUGAAUUGACGGAAGGGCGAAUU